UAGUAUUCAAUUGUCAGAGGUGAAAUUCUUGGAUUUAUUGAAGACUAACUACUGCGAAAGCAUUUGCCAAGGAUGUUUUCAUUAAUCAAGACCGAAAGUUAGGGGAUCGAAGACGAUCAGAUACCGUCGUAGUCUUAACCAUAAACUAUGCCGACUAGGGAUCGGAUGAUGUUAAUUUUUUAAUGACUCA
This 190-nucleotide ribosomal RNA is filed under the name uncultured Glomeromycotina. RNAcentral describes it as "partial 18S ribosomal RNA". It matches the Rfam family "Eukaryotic small subunit ribosomal RNA", at positions 892 to 1078 of the family's 1831-position model. The record is from RNAcentral. Lineage: Eukaryota; Fungi; Glomeromycota.